RNAcentral lists this ribosomal RNA (500 nucleotides) under uncultured bacterium. RNAcentral describes it as "partial 16S ribosomal RNA". It matches the Rfam family "Bacterial small subunit ribosomal RNA", at positions 29 to 523 of the family's 1533-position model. The record is from RNAcentral.
AUUGAACGCUGGCGGAAUGCUUUACACAUGCAAGUCGAACGGCAGCACGGACUUCGGUCAGGUGGCGAGUGGCGAACGGGUGAGUAAUACAUCGGAACGUGCCCAGUCGUGGGGGAUAACGUAGCGAAAGCUACGCUAAUACCGCAUACGAUCUAAGGAUGAAAGCGGGGGAUCGCAAGACCUCGCGCGAUUGGAGCGGCCGAUGGCAGAUUAGGUAGUUGGUAGGGUAAAGGCCUACCAAGCCGACGAUCUGUAGCUGGUCUGAGAGGAUGAUCAGCCACACUGGGACUGAGACACGGCCCAGACUCCUACGGGAGGCAGCAGUCGAGAAUAAUUCACAAUGGGGGCAACCCUGAUGGUGCAACGCCGCGUGGAGGAUGAAGGUCUUCGGAUUGUAAACUCCUGUCAUCCGGGAGCAAGACCUGACGGUUAACAGCCGGCAGGGUUGAUAGUACCGGAAGAGGAAGGGACGGCUAACUUCGUGCCAGCCGCCGCAGUAA